This 460-nucleotide ribosomal RNA is filed under the name uncultured bacterium. RNAcentral's name for it is "partial 16S ribosomal RNA". It matches the Rfam family "Bacterial small subunit ribosomal RNA", at positions 338 to 795 of the family's 1533-position model. The record is from RNAcentral.
CCUACGGGGCGCUGCAGUGAGGAAUAUUGGUCAAUGGACGAGAGUCUGAACCAGCCAAGUAGCGUGAAGGAUGACUGCCCUAUGGGUUGUAAACUUCUUUUAUAUGGGAAUAAAACAGGGUAUGCAUACCCUCUUGUAUGUACCAUAUGAAUAAGGAUCGGCUAACUCCGUGCCAGCAGCCGCGGUAAUACGGAGGAUCCGAGCGUUAUCCGGAUUUAUUGGGUUUAAAGGGAGCGUAGGUGGAUUGUUAAGGCAGUUGUGAAAGUUUGCGGCUCAACCGUAAAAUUGCAGUUGAAACUGGCAGUCUUGAGUACAGUAGAGGUGGGCGGAAUUCGUGGUGUAGCGGUGAAAUGCUUAGAUAUCACGAAGAACUCCGAUUGUGAAGGCAGCUCACUGGACUGCAACUGACACUGAUGCUCGAAAGCGCGGGUAUCGAACAGGAUUAGAUACCCUUGUAGUC